Long non-coding RNA from Olea europaea var. sylvestris, 3820 nucleotides. RefSeq lists it as uncharacterized. NCBI's taxonomy places the organism in Eukaryota, Viridiplantae, Streptophyta, Magnoliopsida, Lamiales, Oleaceae. The transcript is spliced from 4 exons. The record is from RefSeq and is a predicted model, not a curated record.
GUGAGUCAUGGCCUAAGAUCAAGCCAAAAGGCGUAGUCGAUGGACAACAUGUAAAUAUUCUUGUACUAUCCCUUGUUGGUCCCGAGGGACGGAGGAGGCUAGGUUAGCCAAAAACUGGUUAUUGGCUCAAGAACGUAAGGUGCCCCUACUUUUUCAGGGUAAGAAUGUGUAGAGAAAAUGCCUGGAGCCAAUGUUCGAGUAACAGGCGCUAUGGCGCUGAAGUAACCCACGCCAUACUCCUAGGAAAAGGUCGUUUUGUCUCCCACAUGACCAUUUGAAAGCGUAUGCUGUAUAUUGUCUCCAUCUUGCCAAAAGUUACUGACAAAAGAUAAAAGUUUCCUUUAUUUUUGAGAUAUGAUAUCUCAUCUCGUCAAAGGUUCUGUUAUCCCCAUUAGAAAAAAAUGCUAUUGGACAAUUACAAAUGCCAUUCAUAACCUUAAAAAGUGUUAGAUUAUAUCACAAAGAAGAAAAAGAUAUUGUUAAGCAAGACCGAUUGAAACUGUAACAGUUUCAGAAUGAGUUUAUUAUAUGCUUAAACUAUUAAAGUUAAUAGACCUUUUCAGUCUUUUAUACACAGGUAUGAUUCCUAGCAUUUGAAAAGAUUUGGCAUAAAGUGGACAGUAUUUAACUGUACUUUAUAAUUAUUAUAUAUGUGGAAUAUCUAUAUUUCUGUUAACAGAUUUUAUAGCUUGAGAACCUAAGAAUAAAAUAUGAUUUUGUUUCCCGUUAAUUUCGUAAUUGGCCUUUUAUGACAAUUGGUGUUUUGAAGAAACCAUGCUCCUCCAAUAAACAUUCCAACUGUUGUAAAUAAAAGGUGCAGUUUAAAUUAGAUGUUUUGCCAGGUCCUACUGUGAAUUUGUAUUUGUGAAUUAUUACUCAUGUGCAAUUUACAGAUUAAUUCUUCCUGUAUCACUUCAGGGUCUGAGAUAAAUAACAUUUGAAGUUUUGAACUCCCAGUGUUUCUUUUGGAAUAUUAAAAUGGUUUUUCUACGACUCAUUUGCUGACUUUCUACUGAUAAGGGGAAGCAUCAUUUUGAAAUUGUCGGUUUCUAUUUUUCUCUGUGUGAUGAUGGUUCCUAUCUUGAAUUCGCUGUGAACAUCAUCAGAUUGUCUACAAAUUGACUAUUGAUUUAUUGCAUUGUACUGUUUCAGGUUCGAUAUCCUUGUCCUUAUAAUUAUGAUCAUCGACCAUCACUAACUUCUGUUUUUACUAUUUAUUGAAUUCCUUCAUCAGUGGACCAGGAUUGAUAUACCUCUCUUAUUUUCUUAAAUUUACUUCAUCUUCACAUUCUUCAGAUCUUGGCUUCUUCUUUACCUGUGCAAACAUUGGGGUCAAAUAUGGAAACAUGACUUUCAAUUUGAAAAUAGGGAUAAGAAUAUGAAGAACAAGGUAAAUUUUGCAUAUACGGAUGGUCUCACAAGUCCACGUAAAAUGUCAAAACGAGCUACUUCCUGCUCAGAUUUCAAGGAGAAAUCUCUUCAUAUAUCCAAAUAGUCUUCAGUAAUUGAAACGAGAAAGAAUUUUCAUGUGGAGGAAGAGAUUGUUUCCCUUCGUCUGAAUGCUGGAGGGGAAGAUGGAUGACCUUGUAGAGUCAUCUUUCACGAUGCGGAUGGGAAACUGCCUUUUGACACUGGAAGUUGGUAAUCUUUAUGUCUCUGGUUUAAUCUUGCCUCUAAAGGAUAUUGCUAAGAAAGAAAAAACAAAGGGGGUUAGAUUCGAUGGCUUUGGAUGCAUAGAAGAAUGGGGUCUCUCUGGAUAUGAAGGAUAUCCAGUUAUAUGGCUGUUGACUAAAAUUGCAGAUUAUGAUUGUAUUAAACCCUCGAGUAGUUAAAAUGUUAUAUGCCAACCAGUGCUUGUGUUGAGGUUUACAAAAAUUAACAUCUUUUGUUCCUUACUUAAGUCUGGACGAGCUGCUUGUGCUGUUUUGUGUGCAUUGAGAGGGCAGAAAUGCUUAUCUAAUGUUGCGUCAAUCAAGAAUUUUAUACUUUCUCAGGGUGGGUUCAUUUAUACAGUUCUUCCAUUUGGAUGAGACAUCAAAGAAGAGUGAUAAUAAAUUUAUGGAACUACCUGUCCUUGCUGCACUUCGAGAUGAUAGUUGCAGGCAAGAGGAUCUUACACAAGCUCAGCCUAGAUCUUCGUUAGGAAUUGGUCCUGAAAUAAGUGACAGAAAACAAAAUGAUUCAAUCUGGAUUGUUGAAUGAAGAUUUAAAGCUGGCAGGAUUGUUGAAUGAAGAAGAGUAUUGGAGCUCGUUGAAGCAGGAGAAAAACAAGGAUUCAGCUUGCUUGUCAAGAAUAUAUUACAUUAAGAUUAAAUUGCAGAUUACUAUCCAUUGCUUGUCUGUUAUAAGAAUUUCAACCAAGAAACAGAUAUGUAAUCUUUGAUAGUGGUAUUUAUAAUUGUUAUGUAGAUGACUUUCCCCAAGCACGCUUCACAACUGGGCAUUGUAUAACUCUGCUCAUGGAUGAUUUCACUGGAGCUCCUUCCAAUGAAUCUGAUGAUGGAUCUGAGUACAUUUUUGACCCCCAAUAACAAAUCAUUCAUCUUCAAGUGGUUCUGGGACAUCUGAAGUUGAUGGAAUAGCAAUUUAUUUGAGUGCCAUAAAAGAAUGGAUGAUUGAGUUUGGAUCAUAAAUGGUUUUCAUUUCAAUACGCACAGUAAUUUGUUAUCAGGAAAAAGCUUGGGAGGCCAUCACAGCAAAAUUUCCCCAGAGAAGGCAUAGGCAUACUCUUCAGAUAUUAGAAAGGACAAUUCUCCAGCAGUUUUCAAGAAUUUCCCUUGAGAACAUCAAAAGGUGUACAUUCGUGACUGGUCUUACCAAGAAAAUGGAAGAGACACACCAUUCCAAAUGGCUGGUCAGGAAGAAGAAGGUUGAGCUGAGGAACUAACCAAAACUGAAUCCAAGAGCGGCAAUAACACCUGAUAGCUAAGAUAGAGGUCAAGCGGGAAACAUCCACCAGGCUAAUCAACAGAAUUAUGGGGGUUAUUAUUCAAAUCAUUUUUUUUUUUUUUUGGAGGAAUCAAAUGAGUGGACUGUUCUGUUAUGUUAUGAAACAUCUUGAAAAUGAGUGUAUGGAUUUUCAACUGGAUUGUGCCAAACAAGCUAUAACUGUGGAGAUACUGGUGCCAUGCGUUGGAAAUUGGCACAUGAAAGCUUAUGCUAAUGCUAACAAGAUUGAUAGAGCUGGAGCAGAAGAAAGGAAGAGGAAAGGACUGCCGACUGAAUAUUACCGUGAGACCUUGUAUAGUCCAGAGAGAGCGGCUUUCUUUAUCAUUCCUUUCAAUGAGAUUGGUCUUGGAUCUGGAUCUGUCAUUCUUGAAAUUUAAAGGAAACUAAUAAUAAGAAGGAACUUGUCAAGGUGAAUGCAUCUAAGCUCAUUUUUGUAUACCAAGGUACAGGAUAUUGUCUUGAUGACUUCAUCUACGUUAGCCCAACUCACGUUUCGACAGAAAGGGUGGAGGGAGGAAGGUUUAAAAGUAAGAAAAAUGGAGGACUGGAAGCUUCAUCAUAUGUCAACUGCUUGAGAUCAUUGUUUCCAAGGAACGUAAAAUAACCGAAAUCGGUGUUCCGUAGAUUAAAGUCAAGAGGUAUAUUAGACUUGAAGACAUUUCUCCAGAGAAGGAAUACUCCAAAAGAGGUAAAUUCUACUCUACGAAGCAGAGACAGUCCUAUUGAGGUGGCAGGUCCGAUUUAUCAAAUAAUAACACUCCUCAACACUUUGGCUUAGGUGUUUACACGCUUUGCGACAUCUCUUUUUUAUUUUUGAUAUAGUAUUUUAAAUUGUUGAACAUUCAUGGGCACUUUCAAGACACUUCUCGCA